UUUCCCUGCCCUAACGCUAACCCCUUCCCUCAUCACACGCCGAUUUUCCUUCUCCUCUAUUCUCGCUCGCCGCUCACCCACCCUAAGUGCCGCUCCGAUCCUCUCCCUUUCUCUUCCCUUAGCUGCUCUCGUCAUCGCUGCUUUUCUCCUUGCUCCUCCCUAAUCUGCUCUCGUCGGCGCUCCUCUCCCUUUCUCCUCCCUCUACUCUCGUUCGUUGCCGCUCCUCUCCCUAAUCUGCUCUCAUUGUCGCUGGGAUCUUCACCCACGCUCACGCAUACCUGUGCCGCCGUCAGCCUCCACCAUGAUUCCUCCACAGCACUGCCUACAUGCCGUGAUUCUGCCUUUCUCCUCCCAAACUCAUUCUUGUCGUUGCUGCUCCCUAAUCUGCGGAUCUCACCGUGAUUUGUUGUGGAUUGGAAGUUUUGAUAGUCACCUUGCUCCUUUCUACAUAAUCGAAUCAAACAGAUAUUAGAUCAUCAUGGUGUCACCUGGAAUAUCCACUAAAAGCAACAUGAUCAUCAGAAAACUACAACAUACUCAAAGAUAAACUAAAAUUUCACAUGAUCUUGUUAUACCAACAGAAGUCCAGGUGACAGGUACUUGGAUUUUGCAUAUGAUGGUUGAAGAUGAUUGAUAGUAAAUUGUUGAGUUUUUAUUUUAUAAGACUUUGUUAGUUUUAAAACUCAAUAAUUUGUUAGUAUUUAGUUAGCAUUGGAUUCUAUACUUUUACAUUAGUAUUGCAUUUGUACUUUUGUGAAGAUGGGAUGAAUUGUGAUGAUAUGGUAAAUGAAUUGGAUAUUUUGGAUAUAAAAAUGUUUCUAUUCUUAUUAUGGUGAAUGGUGA
This is a long non-coding RNA of Zingiber officinale, 843 nucleotides long. RefSeq lists it as uncharacterized. NCBI's taxonomy places the organism in Eukaryota, Viridiplantae, Streptophyta, Magnoliopsida, Zingiberales, Zingiberaceae. The transcript has 4 exons. The record is from RefSeq and is a predicted model, not a curated record.